RNAcentral lists this transfer RNA (87 nucleotides) under bacterium. RNAcentral's name for it is "tRNA-Leu". It matches the Rfam family "tRNA". Rfam says of the family: Transfer RNA (tRNA) molecules are approximately 80 nucleotides in length. Their secondary structure includes four short double-helical elements and three loops (D, anti-codon, and T loops). Further hydrogen bonds mediate the characteristic L-shaped molecular structure. tRNAs have two regions of fundamental functional importance: the anti-codon, which is responsible for specific mRNA codon recognition, and the 3' end, to which the tRNAs corresponding amino acid is attached (by aminoacyl-tRNA synthetases). tRNAs cope with the degeneracy of the genetic code in two manners: having more than one tRNA (with a specific anti-codon) for a particular amino acid; and 'wobble' base-pairing, i.e. permitting non-standard base-pairing at the 3rd anti-codon position. The record is from RNAcentral.
GCCGAAGUGGCGGAAUUGGCAGACGCGCACGACUCAAAAUCGUGUGGUUUCUAAAAAACCAUGUGGGUUCGACUCCCACCUUCGGCA